Molecule: ribosomal RNA, 1016 nt
Filed under: Raffaelea sp.
Lineage: Eukaryota; Fungi; Ascomycota; Sordariomycetes; Ophiostomatales; Ophiostomataceae
Description: SSU rRNA
Rfam family: Eukaryotic small subunit ribosomal RNA
Source: RNAcentral
UGUACUGCGAAACUGCGAAUGGCUCAUUAAAUCAGUUAUCGUCUAUUUGAUAGUACCUUACUACUUGGAUAACCGUGGUAAUUCUAGAGCUAAUACAUGCUGCAAAGCCCGACUUCGGAAGGGCUGUAUUUAUUAGAUUAAAAAACCAAUGCCCUCCGGGGCUCACUGGUGAUUCAUGAUAACUUCUCGAAUCGCACGGCCUUGCGCCGGCGAUGGUUCAUUCAAAUUUCUGCCCUAUCAACUUUCGACGGCUGGGUAUUGGCCAGCCGUGGUGACAACGGGUAACGGAGGGUUAGGGCUCGACCCCGGAGAAGGAGCCUGAGAAACGGCUACUACAUCCAAGGAAGGCAGCAGGCGCGCAAAUUACCCAAUCCCGACACGGGGAGGUAGUGACAAUAAAUACUGAUACAGGGCUCUUUUGGGUCUUGUAAUUGGAAUGAGUACAAUUUAAUUCCCUUAACGAGGAACAAUUGGAGGGCAAGUCUGGUGCCAGCAGCCGCGGUAAUUCCAGCUCCAAUAGCGUAUAUUAAAGUUGUUGCAGUUAAAAAGCUCGUAGUUGAACCUUGGGCCUGGCUGGCCGGUCCGCCUCACCGCGUGCACUGGUCCGGCCGGGCCUUUCCCUCUGGGGAGCCGCAUGCCCUUCACUGGGCGUGCCGGGGAACCAGGACGUUUACUUUGAAAAAAUUAGAGUGUUCAAAGCAGGCUUAUGCUCGAAUACAUUAGCAUGGAAUAAUGGAAUAGGACGCGUGGUUCUAUUUUGUUGGUUUCUAGGACCGCCGUAAUGAUUAAUAGGGACAGUCGGGGGCAUCAGUAUUCAGCUGUCAGAGGUGAAAUUCUUGGAUUUGCUGAAGACUAACUACUGCGAAAGCAUUUGCCAAGGAUGUUUUCAUUAAUCAGGAACGAAAGUUAGGGGAUCGAAGACGAUCAGAUACCGUCGUAGUCUUAACCAUAAACUAUGCCGACUAGGGAUCGGACGGUGUUAUUCUUUGACCCGUUCGGCACCUUACACGCAAAGU